UACAGAGGUGGCAAGCGUUGUUCGGAAUUACUGGGCGUAAAGGGCGCGUAGGCGGUUCGAUAAGUCCCGUGUGAAAGCCCCGGGCUCAACCCGGGAACUGCGUCCGAAACCGUCUCGCUUGAGUAUGAGAGAGGAAAGCGGAAUUCCUGGUGUAGAGGUGAAAUUCGUAGAUAUCAGGAGGAACACCGGCGGCGAAGGCGGCUUUCUGGCUCAUUACUGACGUUCAGGUACGAAAGCGUGGGUAGCAAACAGG
Molecule: ribosomal RNA, 253 nt
Filed under: uncultured bacterium
Lineage: Bacteria
Description: partial 16S ribosomal RNA
Rfam family: Bacterial small subunit ribosomal RNA
Source: RNAcentral